UAAAAAUUAGGUUGGAAGAUAUCACGGAUAUCUAAUUGAACUAAUUAUAUCAAAUGAGAAACUUUGUACUUAUCUAACCUUACCAUUAGUGGAUAUCAAUACUCCUUACGUGGAUAUAAAUAAAUUGAAUAAAAGAUAGUUAGAAGUAAGUAUUAAUCUCUAUAGAGCUAUCAUUUGAUUUUUUAUCACUAAACUUUUGUGUGCAAGUGUAGAAAAAAGUUCCUAAUCAUUUAUAGGGACAAAAUAAAAUGUCAACGUUCUUAGUGCUAUUUUUUAAAUAUCACAACUUAUGGAUAAAAGUGGAAGAUAGAAAAUGAUACUAAUCUA
Molecule: long non-coding RNA, 327 nt
Filed under: Spirodela polyrhiza (greater duckweed)
Lineage: Eukaryota; Viridiplantae; Streptophyta; Magnoliopsida; Alismatales; Araceae
Description: long non-coding RNA (SPOL_LNC002350)
Source: RNAcentral